CAGACGAUGCGUCAUGCAUAUCAAUAAGCGGAGGAAAAGAAACUAACAAGGAUUCCCUUAGUAACGGCGAGUGAAGCGGGAAGAGCUCAAAUUUGAAAUCUUCAAGGUUUUACCUUGACGAAUUGUAGUUUAAAGAAGUGUUUUCUGUUGAAGUUUUGGUAAAAGUUCUUUGGAAUAGGACAUCAUAGAGGGUGAGAAUCCCGUAUUUGACCAUUAUUUUCAGCUGUGUGAUACACUUUCAAAGAGUCGGAUUGUUUGGGAAUGCAGUCCAAAAUGGGUGGUAAAUUUCAUCUAAAGCUAAAUAUUGGCGAGAGACCGAUAGCGAACAAGUACCGUGAGGGAAAGAUGAAAAGAACUUUGAAAAGAGAGUUAAACAGUACGUGAAAUUGUCAAAAGGGAAGCGUUUGACACCAGUGUUGUUUUCUCGAAAAUCAAUUAAAAAGAGUUGGAUUUUGUGUUGUAUUGACCUUAACAGCUUGCUUCACUCUUUUCCUGCUUUUUUAAUGCACUUUUCGUUUAACAAGUCAACAUCAGUUUCUUUUGUUGUAAAAGGGUCAUUGGAAGGUGGCUUUCUCUUCGGAGAAAGUGUUUAUAGCCUUUGAUCUCUGCAAUCGGAGAGACUGAGGUCUGCAGCGUAGAUCCUUCGGGGUUAGAUACAUUUGUGCUAAGCUACAGCUUUUCAUAGACAACUUGUUGACUAUGUUUAGUCUUGUAACUUACCCGCUUAUGCUAUUUUACCUACGCUUAGGAUGUUGAUAUGCAUGACUGAUAU
Molecule: ribosomal RNA, 772 nt
Filed under: uncultured Neocallimastigales
Lineage: Eukaryota; Fungi; Neocallimastigomycota; Neocallimastigomycetes; Neocallimastigales
Description: partial large subunit ribosomal RNA
Rfam family: Eukaryotic large subunit ribosomal RNA
Source: RNAcentral